RNAcentral lists this long non-coding RNA (344 nucleotides) under Salvia miltiorrhiza (redroot sage). Its description in RNAcentral is "long non-coding RNA (SMIL_LNC002864)". Lineage: Eukaryota; Viridiplantae; Streptophyta; Magnoliopsida; Lamiales; Lamiaceae. The record is from RNAcentral.
UUUGUUUCCUUUUUUUUUCGUAUACUUUUGUUUUCUGUUUCCUUUUUUUCGGUAUUUUUGUUUCCUUUUUUUUUCGUAUAUUUUUGUUUCUUUUUUUUCAUAUAUUUUUGUUUUCUGUUUUCUUUUUUUUCGGCUUUGUUGUUUCCUUUUUUCCGUAUAUUUUUGUUUGCUUUUUUCUUCCAUUUUGUUUCCUUCGUGUGAUUUUAUGCUAAAAUAAUCCUAUAUUUGUCUCCACAUUUUAUGUUAAUUUGAUUUGUUUCCACUAAUUUAGGGAUUCUCCUAAAAUAAUCCUAGUUUUGUUUUCAUUUAUAUUUGUUUUUCGAAUAUUUAAAAAAAACCGAAAU